CACGUGGGGCGCAAGCGUUGUCCGGAAUUAUUGGGCGUAAAGAGCUCGUAGGUGGUUUGUUACGUCCGCUGUGAAAUCCUAGGGCUUAACCCUGGGCUUGCAGUGGAUACGGGCAGACUAGAGGUAGGUAGGGGAGAAUGGAAUUCCUGGUGUAGCGGUGAAAUGCGCAGAUAUCAGGAGGAACACCGGUGGCGAAGGCGGUUCUCUGGGCCUUACCUGACACUGAGGAGCGAAAGCGUGGGGAGCGAACAGG
This 253-nucleotide ribosomal RNA is filed under the name uncultured bacterium. RNAcentral's name for it is "partial 16S ribosomal RNA". It matches the Rfam family "Bacterial small subunit ribosomal RNA", at positions 524 to 776 of the family's 1533-position model. The record is from RNAcentral.